Molecule: non-coding RNA, 70 nt
Organism: Strongylocentrotus purpuratus (purple sea urchin)
Lineage: Eukaryota; Metazoa; Echinodermata; Echinoidea; Camarodonta; Strongylocentrotidae
Source: Rfam
AGAGGCCUAGUUAAACUUAUAACUUUGGGUUGUCAGGCCAAAAUUGCUGGUUAAACUCCAGCGGCUUCUG